RNAcentral lists this ribosomal RNA (459 nucleotides) under uncultured bacterium. Its description in RNAcentral is "partial 16S ribosomal RNA". It matches the Rfam family "Bacterial small subunit ribosomal RNA", at positions 338 to 795 of the family's 1533-position model. The record is from RNAcentral.
CCUACGGGUGGCAGCAGUGAGGAAUAUUGGUCAAUGGCCGGAAGGCUGAACCAGCCAUGCCGCGUGAAGGUCAGUGCCCUAUGGGCGUUAAACUUCUUUUGUGCGGGAGCAAUAAUGGUCAAGUGUGGCCAGACGAGAGUUACGUACGAAUAAGGAUCGGCUAACUCCGUGCCAGUAGCCGCGGUAAUACGGAGGAUCCGAGCGUUUUCCGGAUUUUUUGGGGUUAAAGGGAGCGUAGAUGGGUUGUUAAGUCAGUUGUGAAAGUUUUCGGGUCAACCGUAAACUUGCAAUUGAUACUGGCAGUCUUGAGUACAGUUGAGGUAGGCGGAAUGCGUGGUGUAGCGGUGAAAUGCUUAGAUAUCACGAAGAACUCCGAUUGCGAAGGCAGCUUACUAAACUGCCACUGACAUUGAUGCUCGAAAGUGUGGGUAUCAAACAGGAUUAGAUACCCGUGUAGUC